AGGAAAUGUUAUUUAGUAGAGCCAGUGAGCUCUACUUUUGAGCAUGAGCUAGGAUGAGUGGGGCUUCAUACAGAAAAUGAGAUGAACCAGAGAAGAUGGGAAGGCUGUGUGGAAAAGUGAGAUACCUGGAAUUUUAAGCAGAGGUCAUAUCACAGAUAAUUCCAAAUAAUGGAAUAACCACUUUAACUUCAAAAUACCCCUGAAGCAAUGCUUUUAAGAAAUUAGAAGUUCCUUUUGGUCAUCAUGGAGAUAGUUUUAAGGACAGAACUAAAUCUGGCAUUUAAAUUUAAUUCUUAGGACAAAUCGCUUGGCAAUCUUAGGAAAAAGAGACAGAGUGUGAGCAGGGGAGGGGUACAGAGAAAGAGGGAGACACAGAAUCUGAAGCAGGCUCCAGGCUCUGAGCUGUCAGUACAGAGCCUGACAUGGGGCUUGAACUUGUGAAUUGCCAGAUCAUGACCUGAGCCGAAACUGGACGCUUAACCAACUGAGCCACGCAGGUGCUACUAGAGCUUUAUUUUUGAUUAAACUGUUUCAAAAUUUAAUUUUCCUUAAGAAUGAUGAAUACAAUUCAACAUGA
Molecule: long non-coding RNA, 577 nt
Organism: Acinonyx jubatus (cheetah)
Lineage: Eukaryota; Metazoa; Chordata; Mammalia; Carnivora; Felidae
Exons: 3
Source: RefSeq, a predicted model, not a curated record